This is a long non-coding RNA of Loxodonta africana (African savanna elephant), 3403 nucleotides long. RefSeq lists it as uncharacterized. The transcript is spliced from 2 exons. The record is from RefSeq and is a predicted model, not a curated record. Lineage: Eukaryota; Metazoa; Chordata; Mammalia; Proboscidea; Elephantidae.
AAAAACCAAAAAUGUCAUUUUAAGGACUAAGGUGCGCCUGACCCAGGCCAUGGUAUUUUCAAUCGUCUCAUAUGCAUGCAAAACCUGGAAAAUGAAUGAGGAAGACUGGAGAGGAAUUGAUGCCUUCGAAUUAAGGUCUUGGCCAAGAAUAUUGAAUAUACCAUGGACUGCCACAAGAACGAACAAAUCUGUCUUGGAAGAAGUACAGCCAGAAUGCUCCUUAGAAGGAAGGAUGGUGAGAUUUUCUUACGCACUUUGGACAUGUUAUCAGGAGGCACUGGUCCCUCGAGAAGGACAUCUUGCGUGGUAAAGUAAAGGGUUGGUGAAAAGAGAGAGACCUUUAAGAAGAUGGGUUGACACACUGAGUGCAAUACUAGUCUCAAAGAUAGCAGCCUUUGUGAGGAUGGCGCAGGAUCGGCAGUGUUUCCAUCUGUACAAAGGGGCGCCGUGAGUCAGAAUCCACUGGAUAGCACAUAACAACAAAAACACAAGUAGAUGAGUUGAACUGGGGGAAUCACCACCCUGCAUCCUUCAAGUCUUUGAUGGUGGCAGUUAUCUCUAUAAUUCCUCCAGGAAUGCGGUACUGCUUUUGGUUUACUAUUUUCCUAGAUAGGCAGUUCUAAUGGUUUCCCCUUGGCUUUUCCUACCAUAAUAGCCCUUACUCCACUUGUCUGGAAUCCACAAAGGUAGUUCUGCAAGUUGUUGGGUAUUCCAAUUCCAAUUAUGUGUUUAGGAACUGGGGAAAUCACUACGUGAUGGAUUCAGGGACCCACUGAAUCCACUGUGAAAUGAACCAGAGCUAUGGCUCCAUUAAGAACCUGACUUCCGUACAACCGCUUUCUGACCGGUGGGCCACAGUGACAUCUAGGGUCUCCUGGAUUCAGUGUCAGUUCAGAGGCAGUAUCCAGUAAUUCUUACGCUUGUACAGAUCAAGUAACUACUCGAUAGACUUCCCAUCUAUUUCACUCCUAGGGACACCAUGACUAAGUAGCCAAUGCCAUGAGUCCAUAGGAGUCAGGCUACUCUCAUUACUGCUUUGACUCCACUGUCCAUUAUGUGAACCACACCUACCUUGUUCUUGUCCAUUGAGUCACCCGCAUGGCCCCUAACACCGUGGGGUCCAAUCAGCCCCAUUGUAGUUUGGUGUCUUAAUUCAGUUAGGGCAUCUCCCAUUGUGAGAUCUGACUUCCAUAAAAGAACAAUCACAGCAGUCUUCAAGGAUGCUGGGGCUCCCUUCACAAAUUUAUUCCUCACCAUUGCGGUAAAAGGUGUGUCCUCUGAGCAUUCCAUGUGUGGGUCUGUGGGUCUAAGCCGAGAAAUCCACUCUAACAUGCCAGUUUCCCUAAGCCUUUGGAUACCUUCUUCUACUGUGAAAUCAAGGCGGGUCUGGCACUUCAGCUGGGUUUAGUGUGGGCCACCGCUUAAUCUGUGCUUCACUGAAUCAGUCACAUAAACUAUUAAAUCCUUUCCUAAGCUCUCUAGCUGAAACACUGGAUGAAGGAUCUGUGCUUAGUGGACCCAUAUCAAUGAACUCAGGCUGAGGCAACUUUAUGUUCCUUGCACCAUUAUCCCACACCCAUAAUAGCAAUUCCCACACGUAGUCUCCAGGCUUUUGUUUGUAUGUAUUAGAAAAGUCAAGCAGUUCUUUUUCUUUUGGAGUGUAGUGUACCUCCCCCUGGAUCACAUUUUGUGCUUUACCUUUGAGGAUAGCAGGGACUUCAGUCUAGUUAUAGGCCUAGAAGCAACAAUGGGUGUUGGGAAUGUGUCUGGAGAACAUUCAGCAAUGUCUUGUAAGACAUCUGCCUUAAGGGAUGAUGCCCCAGGCAGUGACUCAGACAUCACCCUAGUGGACGACUGAGACAAAGGCUCUUCAGACACAACUGGGUUAAUCUCAGCAGAUGGGGGUCUGAGGGGCUAACAGUUUUCCUGGGGAGGGUGGUUUAGCAGCCAAACAUGGAGUAAUCCCUUCAGGCGGGAGCUGCUAUUUGGUGAUGGCCUUGCUAUUCCUCAAUGAAACUCAUUUUCUUUCACUCCUAAUAGAGUGUGGGAUUUUGUUCUUCAACAACACAAACAAACAGAAAACAUGACCAGAGCCUUUGCAGCAGCAAAUUAGCUAGGAGAAGAUUAUAAUGUAAUGCUUUCAAGUUCUGAUUUAAAGUAGAAUUCUAACCCAGACAAAAUGUGAGGGCAAUCAAGGCAUUUCCAGACAAGUAAGUAAGAACUUAAACAUCUACUUGCAAGGCAUGCACCUUGAGGAAACUGUUGGAGAAAGGAAAUCAGCACAAAGGACUGAUGAGAAAAAAAAAAAAAAAAAAGACUGUUUAGGCAUAGAAAAUAAAAACAGGCAUCUGAUCUGUCUGUAAAGAGACUAAAGUAACUCUAAGCGCUCAAUGUAGUCUUUCACCUUAGGUUUGGCGUUGGCUGUCUAGCAGCUCCAGGUAAGCUUUCCCCCAGGUUCUACCCUCCUUCCCUAGGAAUCAACCCAUCACCAUGAAGGAAAUGAGUUGCUUUGCGGAUCAAGCUAAAGAAUGUGAAGACUUAAGGCAAACUUUUGGUAUCAGCCUCCUCAGGUUUCUGACAUGCCCAGCAAAGUGAGAGAUCAUGGAAACUCCUUGUUUCCAUUCUCAUCUGGAGAGCUAACAUUCUGAGCAACGUGAUUGUUAACCAACCAGUCUUGAGAAUAUCCGUCCUGUGGCUGCUUUGUAACCAAGGUGAAACCCCCUUGACCUCCUGUCUUUCAAUUGUGUCUUGUAGCCAGUCAAUCGGCUCACGUAAGCAAUAAUGACAACGAUUGUGCUUUACUUGUCGCGUCUUUGAUUGACCUUCGUCACUGUGAACCAACAAGAAAAACUGUAAUUUUAUUCUCCCCCUUCAGCACUCUGAUUACUCCUGAUUUGCCUUCUUCCCGUGAGAUUCCGGAACGUCAGCCUGAGACUUUGCGAUCUCCCACUGCCACGUCUCCGCUGCAAUAAAUCUCUUUCGAUUUUACCUUAAGGGAGCUGGGAAGUCUUUUCUCUCCAACAUUUUGGCGUAGUUAAUCGGCAGGGUUUUUGGAGUUACCCUUCCCCCGGAGACCCGAAGACCUGAAACACGGGAUUCCGGCACCAAGGGCCCCUUUGUGUGCCCCUCGCUGCAGCUUUUUCGGACCCUUCUGGCUGUCUGGGGGGAGAAGGGAGCAGAGAGACUGGAGGACUUCAUUACCACCAAGCAGAAGAGCCAGGAGCAUUUGCUUUGAACCAGGGGCCCCUGCACUGAGAAGCUGCUAGAUCUGGGGAAGACUGAUGACAAGGACCUUCUCCCAGAGCCAACAGAGAGAGAAAGACUUUCCUAGGAGCUGACGCCCUGAAUUCAGACUUCUAGUCUCCUAGACUGUGAGAGAAUAAAUUACUCUUUGUAAAAGCCA